Molecule: ribosomal RNA, 468 nt
Filed under: uncultured bacterium
Lineage: Bacteria
Description: partial 16S ribosomal RNA
Rfam family: Bacterial small subunit ribosomal RNA
Source: RNAcentral
GACGAACGCUGGCGGCGUGCUUAAUAUAUGCAAGUCGAACCGCCAGGCCCUGCUUUUGUGGGGUGCUCGAGUGGCGAACGGGUGAGUAACACGUGAGUCUCCUGCUCUUGACUUUGGGAUAACUUCAGGAAACUGGGGUUUAAACCGGAUAGGAGUCCCUCCCACAUCUUGGGGGCUGGCAAGUUUCCGCGGUUGGGGAUGAACUCGCGGCUUAUUAACGUGUUGGUGGGGUAGUGGCAUACCAAGGUUUUGACGGGUAGUCUGCAAGCGCGGGUGACCGGCGACAUUGAAACUGAGAGGCGGCCCAGACUCAUACGGAAAGCAGCAGUGGGGAAUAUUGCAUGAUGGACGGAAUGCGGUUGCAGCAACUCCGCGUGCGGGAUAACGGCCUUCGGGUGGUGAACCGCUAUCGCCUGUGACGAAGCGUGAGUGACGGUAAUGGGUAAAGAAGCACCAGCUAGGGACGGG